This is a long non-coding RNA of Raphanus sativus (radish), 2353 nucleotides long. RefSeq lists it as uncharacterized. The transcript is spliced from 4 exons. The record is from RefSeq and is a predicted model, not a curated record. NCBI's taxonomy places the organism in Eukaryota, Viridiplantae, Streptophyta, Magnoliopsida, Brassicales, Brassicaceae.
CUCUCCUGCGUCCACGUCAGAUGGGGAGAUGGGGCAAACAACGACACGUGGCAUCAUUUAAUCUCUUCUGCGAAAUUCUUCCAACCAUUGUUCUUUCGGUCUGAUGUGGGCUUCCGUUCCGUAAAACCUUUGGGCCCGCAUUAUUAAGAUCUUUAGACGGAAUGAAACCCUUCAGAAAUAUUUGGGAAUUAAGGUUUGGGUACGUCUUCUUCAGCCCCUUCUCCGUCGUUAACUUUUUGGUUCUUCCCCGUCGAUUCGCUCUCUGUAACUUAACGCCUCAGCCUCCAUCUAUAAAUAGCGGUUCCUGUAUGCGAGGAUGAGCACAGCUCAAACGACUUCCAGAAUCUUUCAAUUUCCAAACUUUUUGUCAAUAGCAAACAGGUUGAAUGGCGCCUUCCUACAUGCUCCUUACCGAUCUCAGAGCCGAUGCUCCCACACUGCGGAGGUUUGGCUGUUGAGGUCUUGAGAGGCCAGAAAUAUCAACAAAAAAAAAUUGCUGCUGAGUGUUGACAUUCAUCGAUGAGAAUGUAAUCACUGUUGUUUUAAGUUUUUUUUUUUUCAUUUACGCAUCUCUGAACACAAGUUCAGGGAACAUCCCACCGAGGGAUCCGUCUACACUUCAAGCGGAUUCGAUGUGGUGUGAAGCAACCCCAAAUUCCGGUUAUCUGAUACGCCCUUCUCCGUACGUUUCAAUGAAGGGACCGAGCUGGAGAAGCUGACAGCAUAUGUUAAGAACAUACCAACUGAGUUUUUCCGUUUCGACCAUACAACCAAUUGCUUGAGCUAGCAAAUACUGUAAAGCAACUCCCAGGUAUUUGACUCCUUUUUGCUAUUAAAAUUGAGUUUCUGCAAAUUCUUCAUUCAACCUAAAGUUCCUGAGGAAGACAAUGAUCCUGACGAUAGAAGAUAACUGAAAGAUGGACAACACUGUGAGCAAUAAGCAAGAAGCACCACCGCCUCUUCCUCCAGGGAUCUAUGAGGUACCGGGAGAGCCUGCGGUUGUUAUCAACGGAGUCCCUGAUAAGCCUCAAAAAGAUUCCAUGAUUGCCAAAGACGAAUCAAAACCAUCGAGUGUCACCACUAUAGGAUCCUGCGAAUGGCUUGAAGGUAGAGAAGUUCGCAAGUUUUUCUUGGGUUAGUACUAUUCAGGUCCGGUGACGAAGUUCGACAAAAGUACUGGGUGGUACAUGCUCGAGUAUGAAGAUGGAGAAUCUGAAGAACUGGACUGGUCUGAGUUAGAAGAAGUGCUUCUACCUAUGGAUGUUACUGUACCACUGAGAUCAAUCUCCUUAUGGGUCAUCAAGAAUCGUCAGACGCAGGCUCAAGCUUAUGGAUGCAUGGUGAAGCGCUAGACCAAGAACUCCAACACUAAUGGGUCUUACUCCAACACUUUUAACAGUCUUUUGAACAUUUCCUCAGUUGAAUAUUUUUAUAUUCAAAACUGAAUAUAUUGGCAAUUAAAUAAUCAUUCCAAGAUGUUGAUCCACAUCAAUUGAGUUUUGUUUGUUGGCACGUCUCUUUAUUGGUUUCGCUGUAAUUAUCAGACAUCUGUUAUUUAUUUAGAUGUGAUACUUUCAGACCCUUAUGUUAUGUGUAUAAAUUAAGCAAAGCCACUACUUACAGAAACUGCCGAUUAUAAGAACCAUAUUGGCCAUGGCACGACUAUGACACAUGGUCGUCUGUACCUUCUUUUUCAUCUUCAGUUCUCUUUGCUUUUUUUUCUUUGUUUGAUCAACAGUUCUCUUUACUUUUUUGUUCAGGUCUAGGAUCUAAAUCUGUCGACUGUUUAUUCUGUUUAUUAUGUAGAUCAACCAGUAAAGAGAAAAUCAUCUAGAAUGUUGUCAUGGUUCACUGGUGAAGUUGUUGAUGCAGAUAACCUUGAGUUGGACGAUGAUGAUGAUGAAACAGGGAGGGGAGGAUGAUGAGGUGGAGGAAAAGGACAAUGACGAAGAGGAUUGGAAAGGAAAGAAGAGAAGAAAAAGUCAUCAGCUGGGCAGAAGGUUUUAACAAUCACUCAGUCUAGAACUUAUGUUCUAUUUCUUCAGUCUAGACCAAUAGUCUGGAAGUAGUCAACUUGCGGAAGGUCAACAAAGUAAGAGGCCACUGAACACUGAAGUGUAAGCAGCUGUGAGUAAACUUUUUCUGCGACAAAGAUCUUAUUUGUGAAGAAGAGUCAGGUCUUUGUGUUUCUUAAGUUGCGGAGUCAUGGUCUGGUUUAAUAUGAUGUAACAAGUUUUAAAUGGUGGUUUGCAGAAAAAUGGUUAUCUGGUUGGUUUGUGUCUGAUUUUUAAUUUGUAAUGUGUUUCUGAUCAUGAACUACUUUGAGCAAAUAGUAUUUGUCGUUUUGUUCACA